Molecule: ribosomal RNA, 499 nt
Filed under: Bacillus sp. 5B_31.07
Lineage: Bacteria; Bacillati; Bacillota; Bacilli; Caryophanales; Bacillaceae
Description: bacterial SSU rRNA
Rfam family: Bacterial small subunit ribosomal RNA
Source: RNAcentral
CAAGUCGAGCGGACAGAUGGGAGCUUGCUCCCUGAUGUUAGCGGCGGACGGGUGAGUAACACGUGGGUAACCUGCCUGUAAGACUGGGAUAACUCCGGGAAACCGGGGCUAAUACCGGAUGGUUGUUUGAACCGCAUGGUUCAAACAUAAAAGGUGGCUUCGGCUACCACUUACAGAUGGACCCGCGGCGCAUUAGCUAGUUGGUGAGGUAACGGCUCACCAAGGCAACGAUGCGUAGCCGACCUGAGAGGGUGAUCGGCCACACUGGGACUGAGACACGGCCCAGACUCCUACGGGAGGCAGCAGUAGGGAAUCUUCCGCAAUGGACGAAAGUCUGACGGAGCAACGCCGCGUGAGUGAUGAAGGUUUUCGGAUCGUAAAGCUCUGUUGUUAGGGAAGAACAAGUACCGUUCGAAUAGGGCGGUACCUUGACGGUACCUAACCAGAAAGCCACGGCUAACUACGUGCCAGCAGCCGCGGUAAUACGUAGGUGGCAAGC